Molecule: ribosomal RNA, 433 nt
Filed under: uncultured fungus
Lineage: Eukaryota; Fungi
Description: eukaryotic LSU rRNA
Rfam family: Eukaryotic large subunit ribosomal RNA
Source: RNAcentral
GACCUCAAAUCAGGCAGGACUACCCGCUGAACUUAAGCAUAUCAAUAAGCGGAGGAAAAGAAACUAACCAGGAUUCCCCCAGUAACGGCGAGUGAAGUGGGAAAAGCUCAACUUUGAAAUCUGGCAGCUUCGCUGUCCGAGUUGUAGUCUCGAGAAGCGUCUUCCGCGCUGAAGCAUGUACGAGUCUGUUGGAAUACAGCGCCUCAGAGGGUGAGAGCCCCGUCCAUGACAUGCCUUUCAGUGCUCUGUGAUGCGCUUUCGAUGAGUCGAGUUGUUUGGGAAUGCAGCUCUAAAUGGGUGGUAAAUUCCAUCUAAGGCUAAAUAUUGGCGGGAGACCGAUAGCAAACAAGUACCGUGAGGGAAAGAUGAAAAGCACUUUGGAAAGAGAGUUAAAAGUACGUGAAAUUGUCGAAAGGGAAACGAUUGAAGUCGG